UACAGAGGUGGCAAGCGUUGUUCGGAAUUACUGGGCGUAAAGGGCGCGUAGGCGGUCUUGUAAGUCUCGUGUGAAAUCCCUCGGCUUAACUGAGGAACUGCACGGGAUACUGCUUGACUUGAGUUCGGGAGAGGGAAGCGGAAUUCCGGGUGUAGCGGUGAAAUGCGUAGAUAUCGGGAGGAACACCAGUGGCGAAGGCGAUCAUCUGGGGUUGUUCUGACGCUGAGGAGCGAAAGCCAGGGGAGCAAACGGG
RNAcentral lists this ribosomal RNA (253 nucleotides) under uncultured bacterium. RNAcentral's name for it is "partial 16S ribosomal RNA". It matches the Rfam family "Bacterial small subunit ribosomal RNA", at positions 524 to 776 of the family's 1533-position model. The record is from RNAcentral.